UGGGGAAUAUUGCACAAUGGGCGCAAGCCUGAUGCAGCGACGCCGCGUGCGGGAUGGAGGCCUUCGGGUUGUAAACCGCUUUUGAUCGGGAGCAAGCCCUUCGGGGUGAGUGUACCCUUCGAAUAAGCACCGGCUAACUACGUGCCAGCAGCCGCGGUAAUACGUAGGGUGCAAGCGUUAUCCGGAAUUAUUGGGCGUAAAGGGCUCGUAGGCGGUUCGUCGCGUCCGGUGUGAAAGCCCAUCGCUUAACGGUGGGUCUGCGCCGGGUACGGGCGGGCUGGAGUGCGGUAGGGGAGACUGGAAUUCCCGGUGUAACGGUGGAAUGUGUAGAUAUCGGGAAGAACACCAAUGGCGAAGGCAGGUCUCUGGGCCGUCACUGACGCUGAGGAGCGAAAGCGUGGGGAGCGAACAGG
This 413-nucleotide ribosomal RNA is filed under the name uncultured Bifidobacterium sp. RNAcentral's name for it is "bacterial SSU rRNA". It matches the Rfam family "Bacterial small subunit ribosomal RNA", at positions 355 to 776 of the family's 1533-position model. The record is from RNAcentral. Lineage: Bacteria; Bacillati; Actinomycetota; Actinomycetes; Bifidobacteriales; Bifidobacteriaceae.